Nothobranchius furzeri (turquoise killifish) is the source of this 2280-nucleotide non-coding RNA. Lineage: Eukaryota; Metazoa; Chordata; Actinopteri; Cyprinodontiformes; Nothobranchiidae. The record is from RefSeq and is a predicted model, not a curated record.
CCAUGUUAGAUAUGUUCACUGAAAAAACAAACUGAUUUGGUUAUUUGAUUCAAAGACAUUUACAAUUUUGGUCAUUUGAUUGCUUUCAGGUUAAAUGAACAGUUCAUUUAUUCUAUGUGAGUUUUUUAUUAAAGAUCAUUUUCAUUAGAAAGUUGUCUGGGCUUAUUCUGGUUUAAGUCAUAAUGCUAAUGUAAUGGCUUGAGAGCAAAAGGAAAAGAUUAGUUUACCUUAGGUGAACCUGCCAGGUUUUUACCAGAAAUCAACGAACCCAAGAAGACACCCCACCUGUUUUAGAUUCUAGUACAGUUACUAGACUGGGUAAGGGGGUGCUACACAGUAGUCUAAGCGUGAGGAGAUGAAGGUGUGGAGAACUGUCUCAAGUUCAGAGCGGGACAGAAUGGGACUCAGCUUAGCAACGUUCCUGAGAUGGAAGAAGGAAGAGCCAACAAGAGAACUGACAUGAGAAUCCAGGGUGAGAGCUGGGUCAAAGGUCACGCCAAGAUUCCUGACAGAAGGUUUGGUGUGGGAAGCAAGCUGACCAAGAGAGUCUCUGACUUUGGGAACCAGCUUGUCUGGGGCACAGAUGAGGAUCUCAGUCUUAUCUUCAUUCAGCUGUAGAAAGCUCCCAGCAUCCAGGUUUUGAUGGAGUCUAAGCAGGUGUGUAACAGCUGCAGCUUAGACAUCUUGUAACCCUGGUUAACAUAGCUCCCAAUAAAUAAAAGCCUGUUAAUAGAAACAGUCAAAAGAAAUAUAUUACAGGUUACAAAUAGUCAAUAAAUGGAUCUUAAUGGUUAAAACGACUCAUUAAAAACAUCAGUAGUUUUAUAUUUAUUUUAUUUGUGUUUAAAAACAUGUUAAAAGGUUAAGAACUUGCAAAUUCAUGGGUUUUUAUGUUAAUUCAGAAAAAAAAAAGCAAAAAUAUCUGUUCAGACUCUUAAUUUGAAGGGCACGUUGCAGCGUGACUCAUGAUCCGCUACAGCCAACCGGGUAGUUCUUUCACUUUGGCGCUGCGGAGGAAGAGAUGCAGACAGUCCUUGCGGAGCUGCUGCGUAAAUGAGAAAAAAUAUAUAUUAAAUACCAACCUAGAAGUCCACAUAAAGCCAUUUUGAGACUCUGGAGAAGGUAUUUCUGUUUCCUGACCGGCUGUGCCUUGGUGAUGUUGUGAACAUAACUGAAUGGGACUUGGUGAGUUCAGUAACUGUAUUUUAUUUGAUAAAAGAAAUGUUUUGUUGUAUUAUAUUGCUAAUUUCAUGUAAAUGGAAAGCCAAGGUAGCAGAUUUCUGUUGUUUAAUGUUAAAAUGGUUGAUUUCAGCAUUGAAUUUGUGCUCACUCGACACACAGGCGGUAGUUCAUAGGCCGUUGAUGUGUUUUCAGGGCGCCAUGUUGGCACCACCUCGUUGAGGACUAAAUGAGCUAAAAAAAACAGACUUUUACUGUUACCUAAGGGCUAUCUGUGUGUUAUUUUUAAAUGUUUAUGCACCUUAUUCUAUCGUUAUGGUAGGCCAUUAAGGUUUGGACCGGGAAAUGCUGAGCUAGAACCGGAGUUGGAUUUCCUAAGCGUGAAACAAGAUGGGGAGCCGCCCUCGGACCCCUUGAACUGUGCCUUGCAGAAGGAGAAAAACUCCCCCUGCUGGACGUUGCGUUCUUUCACUGGAAUCUGGUAGGAUUUAUCCAUACACCUCUGCAGAAGAACGCUGGACUCACAAAGCACGGGAUAACCAUUCAGAAUAAUUCUGGGAUUUAUGGUUAAAGGAGAAAUACAAUUUUUUUUGUUUUGUUUAAAGGGUUUGUUCAGCCUUUUGCUGAAUUGUUUUUAAGUUUUUACAUUUAUGCUGUUUAUUUUAUUUAUUUUUUUGGUCAAACAUACAUUUCAAUGCUAUAAUGGUAUUAAUGAAAAUGUAAAUUUUGUGGGUGAAACCAAAUAGGAAAUGAUUGAAAUUUAAAGGUGAACUAAACCAAAAUUAAAUUAAAUUUUGGAAUUAAAGAACUAAACUAGAUUUAAAAUAACACAGUGUUAACUUAAAUAGAUUAAAGAACAGACGUGAACUUAGAACUUGAAAUUAAUAAAACAACAACCUAGGUUGAAAAUGGCAUCCUUUUAAAGCCAAAUUAAAGGUUUUGAGACAAAUAGGAUAAACGGGAACUACUGGACAAAAAGGGGAAAAUUAAAAUAUCUUAUUUCCCUGGUGUUAAUUGUUUUAUGUGUAUUGUGAAUUGUAUGUCAACUGUCUAUUUUCUGUUUUUUUUUUCUAAAAAUAAUAAGCCGGUGAUUUAAACUUA